This is a long non-coding RNA of Gasterosteus aculeatus aculeatus (three-spined stickleback), 2230 nucleotides long. NCBI's taxonomy places the organism in Eukaryota, Metazoa, Chordata, Actinopteri, Perciformes, Gasterosteidae. The record is from Ensembl.
GUUUUAAUUAAGCCUUUACACCUUCAAUGUAAUUGAAUUUGAAGGUUUGUCCCACCUUAUGACUGGUACUGUAUGUAAAAAUGUACAACUUUAUGCAAGAAACAGCAGAUCAAAAAUAACUGAUGCAACAUAUUAACUUGGACAGGAAAUGUCUCUUAAGCACAUGGGAUCUUCAUUUCUACCCCCCCCUCCGCUCUCUCUGUAAUUAGGGCUUUUUCAGUAUUUCCAGCAAUGUUUUCAUCAGUGUACAGCUUUGCCAGCCUCGGCUGAGAGCGAGGAAGAAUGAAGCGGGGGAAAAGGGGGGGAGAGAAGGUCCUCUGUGGCUUUUAAUAGUUCUCGUCUCUCCCCUGGACUCUCCUUUAAUUGCUCUGCUCUGCCUGCAGGGUCAUCAUUACUCUGAUCAAGUGCAACUCUGUUUUUCACUGCUUUUCAUGAAUAUCAUUUUCCAAAACAACUGCUUUGAGGUUUUUCAAGCAGGAGAUCAAAUUGGAUCACCUACUCAUAUGUAAAUGUAAGAGUGUUCUUGGCAUUAGCAGGAUACAAUAUAUUUAAUAUGCAGGGCUUUCAAGUCUUCAAUAAAUCCGACACCCAAAACACUUUGAAGUGUUUUUUUUUCUUGCUUUAAUCAAGCAAAAUGCCUUUUGAGGUUUUGACAGUCACUGGUGGGGUCAGAGAGCAUAGAUUAGUUCUGCAACUAAGUGAGAUUGUAGGUCCCAAAAUCCUCAUGUUUGUAUCUUCCUGAUAAAAUGGAGCUCAGCUCCCCAGGCCUUCCUUUCUAAUUGCUCUGGCCUGUCUCUCGGGUUAUUAUUGCUCUGAUCAAGCGCAACUCUAUAAUAGUCCUGGUUUUCCACAAUAAAAGAGGUACUGAAGUUUACGAUGUUUGUGGGAAUUAUUACCAAUUGUAUUUGAAGAAUACAAGCAUAGUGCAAAAAAAGGGAAAGGUAACAUUUCAUUCUUCAUUGAGGGAACAAGUGCUGAAUCCGACUGUUCAGAGCAAUCAGAAAAGGCUAAAUCACAUAGAUCGGAACGGUGUCCACUUUUCAUUUAUGUCUUGACUUAAACUGGUUAUUCAAAAAAUGUUUUAAAGGAAUAUGUGGAGCAACAGGGGAAAUGUGGAGAAGAAAUGCAGUUAUAAAAGAUAGAAAGAUAGAAGUUGUUUUAGGUAUAAGAUCUCGGUCCACCAUGCUGACUUUAUACUGUAAGGGGCUAAAGUGUUUGUUCAGAGAGUGCACUUGCUCUUCUCAAUUCAAAGAUAUUCAUUUCGACAUAACCUAUUGAUUUCUUGCAGAUAAAUAAUGUCAAGUCUUGGCAUUUGAGAUCACAUAAAUAUAUAUCGCCAGAAAGGCUGUUACGGUGAAGCUGUCAUAUUUGAGGCCCCUUACAAAAGUAUAUGCCAUUUAUUAUAAUAUUUUAACUUGAUAAGAAUCUUUGAAUGCAGGGGGGAACAGAGUGAUCUCGGGGCUAAUCUACAGCAAAAUGAAAAAGCCACACAGACGAGAAGAAGAAGAGUAAAGUAUUAGAAAAUAAAGAUUGUUUCUUAAUCCUGCUUUAAUUCAGAAACUAUUUGGCACAUAAACAGCAUAUUGUAAGUAAGUGAACUCCAAGUCGGUUCAUCACUCCUGCUUUAAAAUAUACAUGACAGACUGCAUGUUGUUGCCAAUCGGUAGUCGGUUCCAUAAACUUGUUGUAAUGUGCAAUCUACCAUGCAGGAGAUGUCAAAGUAGAUCUUCAUAUCUGGAGAGGCGUAUCCUUCACUUCUUUUCCCUUGAUGUUUUCUCAUUGUACUUGUCUCAACAGUGUGGUUCUGAAUGCAGCUUUUAGAGACCAACUCUCUGAAACUUCAUUAGUAUCUCCAGAACACAACUUGCUGGGCUGCUCUGGAUCCCAGACUCGCUACCGGCCCUGUUUCGACAACGAAUCCAUGUACAAUCCAACAGGGAAGAGAGUCGGUCUAUCGAUCCAAAGAAUGGGAGGCAUCAAAAGAUCCUUAGGAGCAGGAGCUGAAAGGAGCAGCGAUGGCGAAGAGUAUAUCAGGAAGCAACCAAUUCGGAAGGAGACUACCAGACAUGAGAGGAAUACUUUUUCCAAUUGGACCAUGUGUAGAUCGGUCACCUCCACUGUUUACCGUGGGAAUAAAUAUCAGUACAAAUAGGGGAAGAACUCUGGUAUUCCAAUUGCAUGGCAUCACUUUGAUCCUCAUUUGAUCAGAUUAAAUGUCAAUGUAAACCCC